ACCCGCUGAAUUUAAGCAUAUCAAUAAGCGGAGAAAAAGAAACCAACAGGGAUUGCCUUAGUAACGGCGAGUGAAGCGGCAACAGCUCAAAUUUGAAAUCUGGCCUCACGGUCCGAGUUGUAAUUUGUAGAGGAUGCUUUUGGCGAGGUGCUUUCCGAGUUCCCUGGAACGGGACGCCAUAGAGGGUGAGAGCCCCGUACGGUGAGACCACCGAGCCUCUGUAAAGCUCCUUCGACGAGUCGAGUAGUUUGGGAAUGCUGCUCUAAAUGGGAGGUAAAUUUCUUCUAAAGCUAAAUACCGGCCAGAGACCGAUAGCGCACAAGUAGAGUGAUCGAAAGAUGAAAAGCACUUUGAAAAGAGGGUUAAAUAGUACGUGAAAUUGUUGAAAGGGAAGGGCUUAUGACCAGACCUUUGCCUUGCGGAUCAUCCGGUGUUCUCACCCGUGCACUCCGCUUGGUUGAGGCCAGCAUCAGUUUUGGCGGCCGGAUAAAGACUUCAGGAAUGUGACUCCUCCGGGAGUGUUAUAGCCUGCUGUGUAAUACGGCCGCUGGGACUGAGGACCGCGCUUCGGCUAGGAUGCUGGCAUAAUGGUCAUCAGCCACCCGUCUUGAAACACGGACCAG
Molecule: ribosomal RNA, 623 nt
Filed under: uncultured fungus
Lineage: Eukaryota; Fungi
Description: eukaryotic LSU rRNA
Rfam family: Eukaryotic large subunit ribosomal RNA
Source: RNAcentral